AUAUUUAUUCCAAUAAAUCAAUUUAUUUUUAUUUUUAGAGUUUUUGAGUUAUCUCUAAGUAAAAAGUGUGAAUAUUUUCGUAACUUAAUUUUUUAUGUGAUAAAAUUAAUUUUAUUGGACUUCCAACAUAAAUUGAUUUAGCAAAACUCAGUUCAAAGGUUUAUAUCAGACCUAAAACGUCAGGACCCGCCCACCUGCAUGCGGCUGUGGAAGAACAAGCCCAGACACGUUUCUUCACGGAGAACAAGGAAAACACUUUACCGAACUCAUAUGGGAUGGCCCUGUAAGUUGUGCAGCACUGUUGUACCAACCAAGAGUGACAUUUUAAAGCAUUACAGACUGCAACAUGGGACCUUUGGACACAGCCAUUCCUUGCCUUGCAUUCAUAUUAAUGAAGCGGAAUCAACAUUUAUGUCCCAACUGGACAGGUACACGCCAAAGCUCCUGGAGCUCUUCAGUGCAAAAGAAGGAGUGACUGCAGCGCAUCAAGAACAUGUUGAUGGAACUGAUACAGGACCCAAGUGCCUCUGCAGUGAAGAAGAGAGAUGUAACUGUGAGAUGCCUUAUAGAGUACAUGGGAGAGAGUGGACAGGAGCUAAUCUCUGACUACUGGAACUGCAGAGACCGCUGUUCAUGAGGACCUGGAAAUGAAGAAUAUGAGCAUCUACAUCUGUCGUGAGCCAAAUGCAGUAGGAAUCAUCAUUGAGGGAGUACCAGUCCUUACUCAUCUUGGAAACCUGGUCAAAGCAUGCUGCCUACUUCUGGGGUUGACGUAUGCACUUAAUCUUGAGUAUCCAUCCAAACUUUCCAAAACAUUUGAGGUGUUUCAAAGACUUUUUGUGGGACUUGACACACUGCGCCCAAAACCAACCCCCAAAUUCAUGACUCUCAAAAACAAGCUUCUAGCUUAGGCAGUGAGCCAUGACUGUCAGCUUGCACUUUUGAACAGCUAUUUUCUUGUGUCUGUUCAAAAUCAUUAUACAUUGUUCAUUGAGUGGAAUUCUUCAGAAUGUUGUAACGGUUUGUCCUGUUCAGGUUUUAUACAAAGCUCCAGGUCAUCGUUUCUGGUGUGUAAAUUAAGUUUUUUUAUGUUUUAUACACACUAAAUUGCCCUACUGUGAAGCUCCAGCUGGUCAGAAGGAGGGAUCUGUGAGUUGUUUAAGUUAAAAUGUUUCAAAAUAUACACACUGAAAGACACUACAGUGAAGGUGUUCUGCUUGUGAAUUGUUACAGAAGUACAGAUAAUCUUAAUGUUAAAUUGUUUUAGCAAGAAACUGUACUGUGAAUGUUCUAAGUAAAACUUGAGAUGCUGAGGUCAUGCAUUCUUUUAUGCACUAAAUACUGAUGUUCUUGACUGUUAAUACUGUCCAGCAUAUUGACAGGUUUGGAUAUGGCUUGUGAAAAUGUUUUAAUAUGUAUACGGUUAAAAAAAGAAAACUACUGUGAAGGUGUUCUAUACAGCACUUUAAAAAGUUGAGGUCAUGCAUUCUUGUAUAAUAUGGAUGUUGACUGUUCAUACUGUCCAGCUCAUUGCCACUGUUUUUAUAUGGUAAUGAUUUAAUAAAGGUUGGAAUUUGA
Molecule: long non-coding RNA, 1578 nt
Organism: Nerophis lumbriciformis (worm pipefish)
Lineage: Eukaryota; Metazoa; Chordata; Actinopteri; Syngnathiformes; Syngnathidae
Source: RefSeq, a predicted model, not a curated record